UUCACCUGUUUAUCAAAAACAUCUCUUUAUGAUUAAAUAUAAGGUUUAACCUGCCCACUGAAUUUUUAAAUGGCUGCAGUAUAUUGACUGUACAAAGGUAGCAUAAUCAUUAGUUUUUUAAUUGAAAACUGGAAUGAAUGGUUGGAUGAAAUAUAAACUGUUUCAAUAAAGAUUUAUUAGAAUUUUAUUUUUUAGUAAAAAAGCUAAAAUAAAUUUAAAAGACGAGAAGACCCUAUAAAUCUUUAUAUAAAAUGUAAAUAUUAAUUAUUUUAGAAGAUUUUAAAGUAUUUAUAUUUUAUAUUUUAUUGGGGAGAUAGUAAAAUUUAAUAAACUUUUAUAUAAAAUAAUUCAUUAAUUUAUGAAUUUUUGAUUAAUUAUUAAUGAAUAAUAAAAUAAGUUACUUUAGGGAUAACAGCGUAAUUAUUUUGGAGAGUUCAUAUUGAUAAAAUAGAUUGCGAC
Molecule: ribosomal RNA, 459 nt
Filed under: Nycteribia sp.
Lineage: Eukaryota; Metazoa; Arthropoda; Insecta; Diptera; Nycteribiidae
Description: partial large subunit ribosomal RNA
Rfam family: Archaeal large subunit ribosomal RNA (bases 1-161)
Source: RNAcentral